This 638-nucleotide ribosomal RNA is filed under the name uncultured bacterium. RNAcentral's name for it is "bacterial SSU rRNA". It matches the Rfam family "Bacterial small subunit ribosomal RNA", at positions 95 to 767 of the family's 1533-position model. The record is from RNAcentral.
GCGGCGGACGGGUGAGUAACGCGUGGGAAUUUUCCUCAAGGUACGGAACAACUCAGGGAAACUUGGGCUAAUACCGUAUGAUGUCUAGCGACCAAAGAUUUAUCGCCUUGNNNNNAGCCCGCGUCAGAUUAGGUAGUUGGUGGGGUAACGGCCUACCAAGCCUGCGAUCUGUAGCUGGUCUGAGAGGACGAUCAGUCACAUUGGGACUGAGACACGGCCCAAACUCCUACGGGAGGCAGCAGUGGGGAAUCUUGCGCAAUGGGCGAAAGCCUGACGCAGCCAUGCCGCGUGAGUGAUGAAGGUCUUAGGAUUGUAAAGCUCUUUCGCCCGUGACGAUGAUGACGGUAACGGGAGAAGAAGCCCCGGCUAACUUCGUGCCAGCAGCCGCGGUAAUACGAAGGGGGCUAGCGUUGUUCGGAAUUACUGGGCGUAAAGCGCGCGUAGGCGGUUUUGCAAGCCAGAGGUGAAAUGCCUGAGCUUAACUUAGGAAUUGCCUUUGGGACUGUGAGGCUUUGAGGACUGGAGAGGUGAGUGGAAUUCCCAGUGUAGAGGUGAAAUUCGUAGAUAUUGGGGAGAACACCGGUGGCGAAGGCGGCUCACUGGCCAGUUUCUGACGCUGUAGCGCGAAAGCGUGGGGA